This is a long non-coding RNA of Helianthus annuus (common sunflower), 452 nucleotides long. RefSeq lists it as uncharacterized. The record is from RefSeq and is a predicted model, not a curated record. The transcript has 3 exons. Lineage: Eukaryota; Viridiplantae; Streptophyta; Magnoliopsida; Asterales; Asteraceae.
UGUAGUAGCGACCAGGAGAAGAACAAGAAAAAAAACCCUAGUUCUUCCAUAAAUCAUCAAAUUGGAAGGGGAAUUGAAGCUCAAAUUCAGGUCUGAAAGUAUAUUAAUGAUCACCAAAUCAUGAGAAUCAUGAGUUUGACGCUUAACGAGCUAGGUGGAGGAUUGGGAAAGAAGCGGGUCAAACGGAUCGGGUACGCGGAAAAGAGCAUAACCGGAUGCAAGAUCAAGCGGCGUACAAGAACCGAACAAACGAGAUUAAAGCUUCCGCACGUUGUUUCGUCGUCAUUUUAAACGCCGAAUCCGUAUAUAUUAAAUUGUAUUAUUCUCAAGUUGUAAAAGUUUUAAUUUACCCGUAUAUUAAGCGAGUAUGUAACCAUAAUUACAUAUUUAUUUUCGUAAACUUUACGAAAAAUCUUAAUUAAUAGAAAGGGUGUUACAGUGGUGGGUUUGAA